UACGUAGGCAGCAAGCGUUGUUCGGAGUUACUGGGCGUAAAGGGUGUGUAGGCGGUUCUUUUAAGUUUGGUGUGAAAUCUCCCGGCUCAACCGGGAGGGUGCGCCGAAUACUGAGGAGCUAGAGUGCGGGAGAGGAAAGUGGAAUUCCUGGUGUAGCGGUGAAAUGCGUAGAUAUCAGGAGGAACACCGGUGGUGUAGACGGCUUUCUGGACCGUAACUGACGCUGAGACACGAAAGCGUGGGUAGCAAACAGG
This 254-nucleotide ribosomal RNA is filed under the name uncultured bacterium. RNAcentral's name for it is "partial 16S ribosomal RNA". It matches the Rfam family "Bacterial small subunit ribosomal RNA", at positions 524 to 776 of the family's 1533-position model. The record is from RNAcentral.